UGGGGAUAUAAGAAGUGGGAAUCAGAGCCCUACCCCAAGGGAGCUCAACUGAGUAGGAAAGAAAAUCAAAUACAAUAUAAACAUAGCAAAAGAAGUAACACUGCCCAGAAGAGGGGGCACCUAACUCACUGAGAUGGGGGAAAGAGGCCACAGUAUAGUAUAGGGUGUGAAUCAGGAGCAGGGAGACAAGGCUUCCAAGAGGAUGCGUUGCCUGAGCUGCUGAGUUUUAAAGUAAGCUACUGAGUAGAAGGUCAGCAGUAAGAAAGUAGGAAGUUCUAGAUAGUGAGAUAAGCAAACACAAAAGAAACUCAAGGAAAUUGUGAUUUCAGUAGGGCUAUGUGGAACUAGUUAAGUAGGAGGCUAGUACAAGAGGACAUGUGGGGAGAGAUUAAAACUAUGACUGUUCCAGAGUUUCUGAAGGAUAUUAAUCAGGGGAAUAAUCUGAGAUUUAGGAAUUUCAUUCUGGCAACCACAGAAGUACAGAAGCAGGAACAAGAGUUAGACUAUGACAGAGGUCCAGUGAAAGAUGAGGAAGAUCUAAACCAAACUAAAAUGGCAACAAGACUUGAAUAGAGGUGAGAGCUUCAUCCCAAAUUUUAUCUGCUAACAAAAGCUUCUUCCAACAGGCUCAUUGUAUAUAUAGUCUCAAAAUUAAAACUCCACUCAUUCCCAAGGAGAAUUUAGCUGUCUCAUAUCCCAACACUAGGAAGAAAUAUGGACUGAAUAUAGGGGGCUGGAGAGAGGAAGAGAACAGUUGGAGUAGAAGAAGGAAAUGUCGACAAAAAAGAUGGAGACAGUUCUCUCUGAAGAGGUGACAUUUGAGCUGAAAACCUAGUAACUCCACUCAGGAAGGGAGUUAAGACAAUAGAUUAGCAGAGCAAAGGCCCCCGAGGCAGGAAUGAACCUCACACCUUUGAGAAACAAAUGAAAGCCCAGGUUUUUGCAAGUGUAAUGAAAGAGAGGGAAAGCACUAGGAAGUGAACUUGCAGGGGAGACAGAUACUAGGCAGGCCCAGAAGAAAAAAAAAAAAAAACUUUGAAUUUCAUUAUAAGGACAACAGAAAACUAAGAAAGGAUUUUAAGGAAGAAGCAUAAGCAUGAACCCCCUACUCCGUAAGAGCAGAUUAAAUAAUAGAAGAAUGGAGUCCGCAGCAGGGGUCCAGGAGAGAGCUUAUUGGGGCUUGGAUAGGGAUGAUGCCAGCUUUGAGUGUUGCUGCAGGGGCCAUGGACGCCCAUGGAGCCAGGAGCCCACGCUGGUACAGUCUUUGCUCUUUGUGCAGCACUAGGACCCCUGUCCAGGCCAUGGCCAUGCUCAGGGUCCAGCCUGAGGCCCAAGCCAAGGUGGAUGUAUUUCGUGAAGACCUUUGUACCAAGACAAAGAACCUCCUCAGGAGCUAUUUCCCCAAGAAGAUUUCUGAUUUGGAUGCAUUUUUAAAGGAGCCAGCUCUCAAUGAAGCCAACUUAAGCAAUCUGAAGGCCCCAUUAGACAUCCCAGUGCCUGAUCCAGUUAAGGAGAAAGAGAAGGAAGAGCAGAAAAAACACCAGGAGAAGGAAGACAAAGGGGAAGAUGAAGACAAAAGGUCCUCCCUGUGGCCUAGUGAACUGCAAUGAAAAGAUUGUGGUCCUCCUGCAGUGCUUAAAGCCUGAGAUUAAGGAUGUCAUUGAGCAGCUCAACUUGGUCACCACCUGGUUGCAGCUGCAGAUACCUCGGAUUGAGGAUGGGAACAAUUUUGGAGUGGCUGUCCAGGAGAAGGUGUUUGAACUCAUGACCAGCCUCCACACCAAGCUAGAAGGCUUCCACACUCAAAUCUCUAAGUAUUUCUCUGAGCGAGGUGAUGCAGUGGCCAAAGCAGCCAAGCAGCCCCAUGUGGGUGAUUAUUGGCAGCUGGUACACGAGCUAGAUGAGGCAGAGUACUGGGACAUCCGGCUGAUGGUCAUGGAGAUCCGCAACACUCAUGCUGUGUUAUAUGACAUCAUCCUGAAGAACUUUGAGAAGCUCAAGAAGCCCAGUGGAGAAACAAAGGGAAUGAUCUAUUGAGAGCUCCCUCUAAUUCUGUGAUGGGUACAGUAUAGACCUUCUUAAUUUUUGCCAGGGACUCCAGAUUUUCCCCUAUCUUUCUCCUAUUGAGGUUUUUCCCUCACCUUGCUUCCCAAGCACAAUAAACAUAGUCACACUG
Nycticebus coucang (slow loris) is the source of this 2176-nucleotide RNA transcript. It is a transcript of the gene named proteasome activator complex subunit 1-like, with no coding region annotated. NCBI's taxonomy places the organism in Eukaryota, Metazoa, Chordata, Mammalia, Primates, Lorisidae. The record is from RefSeq and is a predicted model, not a curated record. The transcript has a single exon.